UAAAUUAUGAUUAGAUAGCAAGCUCAUGUUAGUAUUAUUUGUCAAUCGUAUAGACAACUACACUACAUUAUUUCCAGAAAUGAUGCAGUAUUUGCAUAUUAAUACCUGUGAAUCAUGGUUAUUCUCAUUUAAGGGGUGUAUUCGAUUGGGAUUUUAAUGGAUUGUUUUUAGUCUAUGGAUUUUAAUGGAUUGUAUGAGAUUUUGAUUUUGUGCGGAUUCUUAAUAAAAUGUCGCAGAGUUGAUGGGAUUUAGGUUCAAUGCUUCAAAAUCCCAUUGAUUUUGAUGGGAUUUCAAAAAACUUAAAAUACACUCAAGAAUGCCACAAAAUCCAUCAUUUUAUGAAAUGAAAAAAAAUCCAUCAGCAUUUGAAUACCAUCAGAUUUUAAUGGAUUUUAAACAAUCCCAAUUGAAUACCAUCGGAUUUUAAAGCAUAAUUUAAAAUCCCAAUUGAAUACCACCAGAUUUUGUAACAUAAUUUAAAAUCCCAAUUGAAUACCUCAAAAUUUUAAUGGAUUUCAAACAAUCCCAAUCGAAUACCCUCGGAUUUCAUGAAUGCAAAAAAAUGCGUUAAAAUCCCAAUCCAAUACACCCCUCUUAGUUUAUUGCAGAAAUAAUACACUUCAAGAUUUCCCAGUAUUGUAACAGAAAUUUUCAGUGGCAACAGAGUAUCAUAAAACAGAGAUUUUCGUUGUCAA
Molecule: long non-coding RNA, 695 nt
Filed under: Daucus carota (carrot)
Lineage: Eukaryota; Viridiplantae; Streptophyta; Magnoliopsida; Apiales; Apiaceae
Description: long non-coding RNA (DCAR_LNC002840)
Source: RNAcentral